This 497-nucleotide ribosomal RNA is filed under the name uncultured bacterium. RNAcentral describes it as "partial 16S ribosomal RNA". It matches the Rfam family "Bacterial small subunit ribosomal RNA", at positions 28 to 507 of the family's 1533-position model. The record is from RNAcentral.
GAUGAACGCUGGCGGCGUGCCUAAUACAUGCAAGUCGAGCGAACAGAUGAGGAGCUUGCUCCUCUGACGUUAGCGGCGGACGGGUGAGUAACACGUGGAUAACCUACCUAUAAGACUGGGAUAACUUCGGGAAACCGGAGCUAAUACCGGAUAAUAUAUUGAACCGCAUGGUUCAAUAGUGAAAGACGGUUUUGCUGUCACUGAUAGAUGGAUCCGCGCCGCAUUAGCUAGUUGGUAAGGUAACGGCUUACCAAGGCAACGAUGCGUAGCCGACCUGAGAGGGUGAUCGACCACACUGGAACUGAGACACGGUCCAGACUCCUACGGGAGGCAGCAGUAGGGAAUCUUCCGCAAUGGGCGAAAGCCUGACGGAGCAACGCCGCGUGAGUGAUGAAGGUCUUCGGAUCGUAAAACUCUGUUAUUAGGGAAGAACAAAUGUGUAAGUAACUAUGCACGUCUUGACGGUACCUAAUCAGAAAGCCACGGCUAACUACGUG